UACGAAGGGAGCUAGCGUUGUUCGGAAUCACUGGGCGUAAAGCGCACGUAGGCGGACGUGUCAGUCAGGGGUGAAAUCCCGGAGCUCAACUUCGGAACUGCCUUUGAUACAGCACGUCUUGAGUCCGGAAGAGGUGGGUGGAAUUCCUAGUGUAGAGGUGAAAUUCGUAGAUAUGAGGAAGAACACCGGUGGCGAAGGCGGCCCACUGGUCCGGUACUGACGCUGAGGUGCGAAAGCGUGGGGAGCAAACAGG
Molecule: ribosomal RNA, 253 nt
Filed under: uncultured bacterium
Lineage: Bacteria
Description: partial 16S ribosomal RNA
Rfam family: Bacterial small subunit ribosomal RNA
Source: RNAcentral